RNAcentral lists this ribosomal RNA (253 nucleotides) under uncultured bacterium. Its description in RNAcentral is "partial 16S ribosomal RNA". It matches the Rfam family "Bacterial small subunit ribosomal RNA", at positions 524 to 776 of the family's 1533-position model. The record is from RNAcentral.
UACGUAGGGUGCGAGCGUUGUCCGGAAUUAUUGGGCGUAAAGAGCUCGUAGGCGGCCUGUCGCGUCGGAUGUGAAAGCCCGGGGCUUAACCCCGGGCGUGCAGUGGAUACGGGCUGGCUGGAGGCAGGCAGGGGAGAACGGAAUUCCCGGUGUAGCGGUGAAAUGCGCAGAUAUCGGGAGGAACACCGGUGGCGAAGGCGGUUCUCUGGGCCUGACCUGACGCUGAGGAGCGAAAGCGUGGGGAGCGAACAGG